Ipomoea nil (Japanese morning glory) is the source of this 495-nucleotide long non-coding RNA. RefSeq lists it as uncharacterized. The record is from RefSeq and is a predicted model, not a curated record. The transcript has 2 exons. NCBI's taxonomy places the organism in Eukaryota, Viridiplantae, Streptophyta, Magnoliopsida, Solanales, Convolvulaceae.
CCAUUAUUGUAAGUUAAGCAGCUCAACAACCUAAGCUAGCUAGCAAGGUUAGCUUGCUUGCUUCCAUUUUUCUCAGAUCGAUUCAAAUCAUGUUUCUGGUGGCUUUGAUGUUUCUUGAGUCAGUAGCGAGAACAAUGGCGGAGCUGGCGAGACAGCCGGCGUCGACGAUGACAACAUUGUUGUACUACAGCGGUCUUCUUCCUCGGAACCUGGAUAGCUUGGAGCGGCUGGUCAGGAACGACCUCGUCGGCGGCGGGAAUAAUAAUAAUAAUUAUUAUUUGUUCCAUUUUCUCAUUCACUUUUUGCGAUGCUUUUGGUAGCUAUCUAGCUAAUUCCCCAGUAGCUAGUAUACUUUUCUAACAUCACGGAGCCGUCAGUGUCGUCGUCAAGAUUGAAGAGAGAUAGCUUCAUUUCGUAUUUCUUCUUUUUGAAGCAAUAACAACAUCUAUCAAUAGUUCGUUUAUGCAACCAGCAGAUUGGAUUUGUUCCGUGACU